RNAcentral lists this ribosomal RNA (438 nucleotides) under uncultured soil bacterium. RNAcentral describes it as "bacterial SSU rRNA". It matches the Rfam family "Bacterial small subunit ribosomal RNA", at positions 26 to 463 of the family's 1533-position model. The record is from RNAcentral.
AGAUUGAACGCUGGCGGCAUGCUUUACACAUGCAAGUCGAACGGUAACGCGGGGGCAACCCUGGCGACGAGUGGCGAAUGGGUGAGUAAUACAUCGGAACGUGCCCAGUAGUGGGGGGAUAGCUCGGCGAAAGCCGGAUUAAUACCGCAUACGACCUACGGGUGAAAGCGGGGGAUCGCAAGACCUCGCGCUAUUGGAGCGGCCGAUGGCAGAUUAGCUUGUUGGUGGGGUAAAAGCCUACCAAGGCGACGAUCUGUAGCUGGUCUGAGAGGACGACCAGCCACACUGGGACUGAGACACGGCCCAGACUCCUACGGGAGGCAGCAGUGGGGAAUUUGGACAAUGGGCGCAAGCCUGAUCCAGCAAUCGCCGCGUGUGUGAUGGAAGGCCUUACGGUUGUAAAGCUACUUUUAGGUAGGAACGGAACCGGUCCGGACC